Molecule: ribosomal RNA, 916 nt
Filed under: uncultured bacterium
Lineage: Bacteria
Description: bacterial SSU rRNA
Rfam family: Bacterial small subunit ribosomal RNA
Source: RNAcentral
AGAGUUUGAUCCUGGCUCAGGAUGAACGCUAGCUACAGGCUUAACACAUGCAAGUCGAGGGGCAGCGGGAUUGAAGCUUGCUUCAAUUGCCGGCGACCGGCGCACGGGUGAGUAACGCGUAUCCAACCUUCCGUACACUCAGGGAUAGCCUUUCGAAAGAAAGAUUAAUACCUGAUAGUAUCUUAAGCACACAUGUAAUUAAGAUUAAAGAUUUAUCGGUGUACGAUGGGGAUGCGUUCCAUUAGGUAGUAGGCGGGGUAACGGCCCACCUAGCCAACGAUGGAUAGGGGUUCUGAGAGGAAGGUCCCCCACAUUGGAACUGAGACACGGUCCAAACUCCUACGGGAGGCAGCAGUGAGGAAUAUUGGUCAAUGGACGAGAGUCUGAACCAGCCAAGUAGCGUGAAGGAUGAAGGUCCUACGGAUUGUAAACUUCUUUUAUAAGGGAAUAAACCCUCCCACGUGUGGGAGCUUGUAUGUACCUUAUGAAUAAGCAUCGGCUAACUCCGUGCCAGCAGCCGCGGUAAUACGGAGGAUGCGAGCGUUAUCCGGAUUUAUUGGGUUUAAAGGGAGCGCAGACGGGUCGUUAAGUCAGCUGUGAAAGUUUGGGGCUCAACCUUAAAAUUGCAGUUGAUACUGGCGUCCUUGAGUGCGGUUGAGGUGUGCGGAAUUCGUGGUGUAGCGGUGAAAUGCUUAGAUAUCACGAAGAACCCCGAUUGCGAAGGCAGCUUGCUAAACUGUAACUGACGUUCAUGCUCGAAAGUGUGGGUAUCAAACAGGAUUAGAUACCCUGGUAGUCCACACGGUAAACGAUGGAUACUCGCUGUUGGCGAUAUACUGUCAGCGGCCAAGCGAAAGCAUUAAGUAUCCCACCUGGGGAGUACGCCGGCAACGGUGAAACUCAAAUGAAUUGACGG